CCUCAAAUGCACACAUUUUUCUCUCCACACCAUGCAGCUGCUGCCAGCGGAUGGGAGACGGGUGGCGUCUGCAAUUCAAGAUAGCCUUUCCUACCUUCUUCAGUGCCUCUUUCUGUCAUAUGAAGUUAUGACCUUCAUAUGUUUCUGUGAUAUGAAGUUAAAACAAGAUUUCGCUGUCUUCAUUAUGUACCUCAUCACUUAGAAACCAUCUGAAUUAGAAACCACCAGAGGAAAAGAAUAUUGAAGACAGUUACAGCACCUGCUAGAAGAUACACCUUGAGAUGCUUUGGAACAGUUCUUCAGGAGCAUGAAAGCUCUCACCAGAUAUAAGCACCGUGCUUUUGGAAUUCUCAGCCCCCAAAAUGGAGUCUCCUAUUAACUUAAUGGAACCCUGCAGCUGUGAAGAAUACUGGGGAGUCUUGGCAACAUCACCAGCACAGCAGCCUUGGCUAACUUCCUGAAUUAGGCCUUUUCUUUGCAGUGCUAUAAUAAAACCAUGGUGCUGAUUUAUGAUGAACGUGGAGAUGUACCACCUAGAUUUCUCUUCAAGGAAGGACUUGUUUCCUCUGCUGAUGGAAUUCCUGUCAACAGAGACCUUUCAGGUGCCAGUGACUUGGAGAAGGCCUGAGCUGUAGAGCAACAUCACCUAAGGUCACGCCCUACGUGAGUCAGCAGAAUCCACUGACUGAUGGAGAUUAUAAAGACUUAGCCAUUUUGUCUCAAUGAGGUGUACCUACAAUGGGUCAUAUGAGCUCCACAGCUCCCUGUGGAGUCAGCUCAGACUGUUGUUGACUUACAUUGUACCUCAACUUCUCUCUCUGCCAAAUCUAGCUCCCUUUACCUCACAAUCAUAGGCGUUCAUCCCAAAGACAUCCCUUAAUAUAAAUAAUGCACAAUAUACUC
This is a long non-coding RNA of Homo sapiens (human), 903 nucleotides long. The record is from Ensembl. NCBI's taxonomy places the organism in Eukaryota, Metazoa, Chordata, Mammalia, Primates, Hominidae.